Populus nigra (black poplar) is the source of this 427-nucleotide long non-coding RNA. RefSeq lists it as uncharacterized. The record is from RefSeq and is a predicted model, not a curated record. The transcript has 2 exons. NCBI's taxonomy places the organism in Eukaryota, Viridiplantae, Streptophyta, Magnoliopsida, Malpighiales, Salicaceae.
CUCUCUCUCUCUUUCUCUCUAUCUAACUAUCUUACCCUAUAUUGUUUUGAAGGUGAAGAGAAGAGUUGAAAAGGCAAUGAAGAGGAGAGAGAUGCCGUCCUUCGCCUAGGAAGGUGGCAGCAAAACCUGGGCCUAAGAGAUUUCCAUCUUCGUCCAAUCAGAAUCCAAAAGGGAGGUGAAACUAUCUUCAAUAUUGCCUGUCUUCCAUGUGUCUGGCCUUACGAGAACUCCUCUCUCUCAUUUUUAUAAGGCAACAUAUCUUUCUGAAUCCAACUAAUUGGAAAAGAACUAGAUGCGUCAUACUGAUUGCUUUGGUUUGCGUUGGUAGAAAAGUUUUGUAUUCUAUGAUCUGUUCUCUUUUUGUUUGAUUAAUGCUUGCUUCGGCUUGCCUUGGUUGCUUAAGUGAUAGUUAUUCUUUCUUGCCCAA